RNAcentral lists this ribosomal RNA (520 nucleotides) under uncultured Glomus. Its description in RNAcentral is "SSU rRNA". It matches the Rfam family "Eukaryotic small subunit ribosomal RNA", at positions 569 to 1092 of the family's 1831-position model. Lineage: Eukaryota; Fungi; Glomeromycota; Glomeromycetes; Glomerales; Glomeraceae. The record is from RNAcentral.
CGCAGCCGCGGUAAUUCCAGCUCCAAUAGCGUAUAUUAAAGUUGUUGCAGUUAAAAAGCUCGUAGUUGAAUUUCGAGACCGGCUUACUGGUCGUGCUAUUGUACGUACUGGUAUAAUCGGUUUCUCCUUUCUGACGAACUAUAAUGCCAUUAAUUUGGUGUUUUAGGGAAUCAGGACUGUUACUUUGAAGAAAUUAGAGUGUUUAAAGCAGGCUCACGCUUGAAUACAUUAGCAUGGAAUAACGGAAUAGGACGUUUGAUUCUAUUUUGUUGGUUUCUAGGAUCGACGUAAUGAUUAAUAGGGAUAGUUGGGGGCAUUAGUAUUCAAUUGUCAGAGGUGAAAUUCUUGGAUUUAUUGAAGACUAACUACUGCGAAAGCAUUUGCCAAGGAUGUUUUCAUUAAUCAAGAACGAAAGUUAGGGGAUCGAAGACGAUCAGAUACCGUCGUAGUCUUAACCAUAAACUAUGCCGACUAGGGAUCGGAUGAUGUUAUUUUUUAAUGACUCAUUCGGCGCCUUACG